This is a long non-coding RNA of Dromaius novaehollandiae (emu), 3558 nucleotides long. RefSeq lists it as uncharacterized. The record is from RefSeq and is a predicted model, not a curated record. Lineage: Eukaryota; Metazoa; Chordata; Aves; Casuariiformes; Dromaiidae. The transcript is spliced from 2 exons.
GGGCACAGGCAGUGUGAGGGGGGGAGGCCCCCGACAAGCCCCAAGGAGGCAGGAGAUCAGAUACUGCCAGACCUCUGCACCUCACGCGGGUCCUGGACAUUAGCAACAAAAUGCCUGAAAGAAGCCUGUCUUUGCUUUAUUUUCUGGGGGCACAACUCUGGGCCAUUUGGCUUUGCGCAGGGGACCUCUGCAGGGUAAAAGCAAGCACUUGGCUUCUGUUUGUUAUAGCUUCUAAUUUGACAAAGGCUGUACGUCUGCGGCUUGAAUGCUGCAGGGACGCUACCUCCAUGCAGAGAGCUUCUGGCAGGCUAAAUAGCUGUGGCAAUGGCAAUUGCAGUCCAGCAGCAUUCUGAAUGGAGAGCUGCCUGCUUAAGCAUGGCAGAAUUUAAGAAAUACCACCUUUAUUUGAAUCCAGGAUAAUCACUUUUUCCUCACGGGAGCAUUAUCUCAGACUCUCCUGCUAGAAAGUUACAGUAGGGUAAAAAAAAAAUUGCCGAGCAUCGGUUGGUCUGUGCUGGUUGUCGGGGUGGUCGCUUUUAACCUCGCGUUUCCCAGUUAAGGUAGCGGAGGGAGAAAAGCUACUUCGUAUUCGGCAGGAGCGAGAGCUCUGCGCUGGCGGUUGCUGUGGAGAAGCUGAUUGUGGUCAAUUAACCAGUCGUAAAUCAGCCUGUCGCUGCUUUCUGUCAAGGCCUGUGCGGGGGAUCCUGUCCUCAGGGGCGCGAAGCCGCUCGCUCCUCGGCAGCCGCCGCGAGCCCCUCGGCGCGGAGGGGAGGUUGCGGCGCGGGCAGAGCUGCCGGGCGGCCGGUGCCCGUCGAGGGGGGCAGCUCCUGCGCCCGCAGCUGUGGGCUCGCCGCCUCGCGUUGCCGGGGCCCGGAGCGGCAGCUGCCCCUGCCCGCGCUGGAGGUUCAAUUGCGGUGAUUUGUCAUUGCUUGAUUUAAAUUUGUUUAGAACUCGACCGAAAUACAAUUUUUGUAAAGCUGCUCUCAAUAGGUAUGUUUGUAUUUCUAAAUAAGCGUUGAACAUAUUUUCCCUAAACUACUUAAACGUAUUUUUCUUAAACUCAUUCUGGGAAUUUAUGAGAUUGUCUUGGCAUCGAGGUCGUUUUGCGGUGGAGAGAGAGAGAGCAGUUUAGGUUGCAGGAGGAUGAAUAUUCAUGUCCUGUUGACAGCAAAUACAUUAAACUCACUUUUACCUUUUAAUAACCUCUUAGAAAUGGAAACCACCCACUACAAGUAUAUUUUCAGAUUCUAAGGAAAUAUCCACACGGUUGUCAUUACUUAUAAAGGCAGUAAGUGUCCGCCUGCUUUCCUGUUCUGCCACCUGCGUCACGGUGGGCAGGCAGACCCCGAAACCGGGACAGGACAGACUGACUCCUCACAUUUUAUUCUCAGCACGGACUGGUUGAAGGGUUUGGUUUUAAACUACUUUCAUAUCCCCUCGCUAAACUGGGAUGCGGUCCGGGUGCCUCUCACUUGGGUCGCUUUGCGUUGCCCCUCGCGGGAGGCAGCGUGCCGAGCCCCGUCUGGCCGCUGCCGAGCAGGGCUGUGCUCAGAGGCGCGCCGCGUUGUCCUGCAAAUACCAUCUGCUCCUCAGCAUGCUCCUCCGUGUCCCUCACGGCAACGCCGGGACGUUAAUGCGUGUGCCAGCUAGUGCCGAUUAACGCUGGGUCACUUAGCAAGGGUUUGUAGGUGGCUGGAAAGGCAAGUGGCACCUCAGCCAGCGGAUGUGUAACUGGCACUAUAUCUUUCAAGUUUUUUUUAAGUACUGGUCUAUAAAUCUAUUGCAUGCUGUGCAAGUGAUUUAUUGUAAUUCAUAACCUUUAAACCUUUCUACUACCACGCAGGCAAGUUCUUCUCUUGCACGUGAAACACUUUGAUUUAUAAAUUUGGAGCAGGUUUAAAAUCUGUUUUUUGCUUUCCUUCUAAAUUUGGAUUCACCAGUAAGUGCCAGGAAAAUGUUAUUUAAUUUGCAUUCGAUGGUCUGAUUGAACGGCGUUCUUCGUUUGACCACACAGAGAUGGAUUGUCUCUUUGAGAAUCGCAGUCUUUUAUCCCUCAGAGUUCAGAGGUUACAUCAAAAACUGCCUGCCUGCUGCCUGAUGUGACAUUUGAACUCCAAAGGCCAAGAGAUCAUGAGGCCAUAAAGCAGGGCAAAAGCUCUAAAGGUGUCAUUCCUAUUGUUCUCGGAGGACAGGACUUUAGCCGAGAUCACAUCAUUCAUGGGGUGGGGAAUAAGGGCUAGAUGUCAGCCGGGAUCAGGAAAGCCUGGGUUCAUCCUGUAGUCAAGAAUCAGUGCUGGAGCAACGCUGCAAGUUUGCUCGCAGUAGUGGGACAGGUUUCUAGUAAGUGCCAACCCACCAUGUGAUCAAGAGUCUGCAGACUAGUAGUUCUUAAUUUGUACGUUAAUCUUUAAUGUGUGUGUUGUAUUUUUUGCGCUGCCCGUCAUGAGAGGGAGAAAUAGUUUACUCCAGUAUGGACAGUCUCUCUCUGUUGAGUGACGUGUGGCUUCUCGUCCCGGGCAGAACGAUCUGAGAACUCCUCCAGCCUAUGUUUCACUGUCACCAGUAAUGGGGAGCAGAGGAAAACUCAUGGUACCUUAAAUACUGCACCAGAUCCUGACAGCACUCCCACAGAAGUCGUUCAUGUCAAAGCAAUAAUUGCAACACUCCUGUAAGGUAAAAAUGGUUUGAUACAAAAUCACCCCAAUACUCCACUGUAAAAUUUGCCCCCGUAAAUGUAUACAUGCUAGAAAGUUGGGUUAGAAUCAGGGCCGCAGAGAUGCAGCCUCAGCCCGACUGUGGGCACUUAAAUGAGGAGCCUGGUUGCUUCUGUCCCCCUGUACAGGCGAGGGGGGGACAUCGACGUCUCCAGAAGGCCUCAGCUGAUCCAGACCUGAGUCAGGCUGCGGAGCGGUGCCUUCCGCUCUGCCUCCCGGGCACCUGCGCGUGUCGCCUAGGGGAGGUGGCACGAGUCCAGCUUUGGGAAUUCCACACCUUGCCUCACCGUGUGUCUUUAGACCUGGUGUUUGGCAGAGUAGGAAUCAUCUAAGGUGAUCCACUGUAGUGCCAGCAGUGCUUACGUAGAUCCAUGGCUGCUGGCAGCUGGCUCCUUCAGAGAGAUGUCCAGCCGGGGAAUCAGCUGGGAAUUUCUGUGCAUCUUUUCCUUCCUCCAUCCAAAACCACCACAGAUGGAGCUGAGUGAAAACACAUUUGCCAACAAAGAUGUCUUACUGAAAGCAGUGACAAUUUUUACCUCUUUCAAAAAUUUUGCUGCUCAAACAAAAGUAGUAACUGAAGUUUACAAAUUUUGUUUUCUUUUGGGUUUUGUGAGAGGAGGGAAAAAAAGCAAGAGAGAAAUAGUUGAAAAGGAAUGAAAGCUGAAUUGAAGCUUUGCUAUUACUUGAAAUUAAUUUGGAAGUUUGUUCUUAACAUGAAAGAAACUGAAUACAGUUUUAUUGCAGAAAAAUAGGAAACAUAUAAAGGUCUUAAUUUGACUUUUCCUUAGAAGAUAGUAUUAACCAUCUCAGUAGUAUGCUGGUUUAAAUAAAGGUGUUUGCUUUC